This 868-nucleotide ribosomal RNA is filed under the name uncultured archaeon. Its description in RNAcentral is "bacterial SSU rRNA". It matches the Rfam family "Archaeal small subunit ribosomal RNA", at positions 1 to 878 of the family's 1478-position model. The record is from RNAcentral.
CUCCGGUUGAUCCCGCCGGACCCGACUGCUAUCAGAGUGGGACUAAGCCAUGCGAGUCAACAUAGCAAUAUGUGGCAUACGGCUCAGUAACACGUAGUCAACAUGCCCAGGGGACGUGGAUAACCUCGGGAAACUGAGGAUAAACCGCGAUAGGUCAUCACUUCUGGAAUGGGUAAUGACUUAAAUCUAUAUGGCCCCUGGAUUGGACUGCGGCCGAUCAGGCUGUUGGUGAGGUAAUGGCCCACCAAACCUGUAACCGGUACGGGCUCUGAGAGGAGGAGCCCGGAGAUGGGCACUGAGACAAGGGCCCAGGCCCUAUGGGGCGCAGCAGGCGCGAAACCUCUGCAAUAGGCGAAAGCUUGACAGGGUUACUCUGAGUGAUUUCCGCUAAGGGAAUCUUUUGGCACCUCUAAAAAUGGUGCAGAAUAAGGGGUGGGCAAGUCUGGUGUCAGCCGCCGCGGUAAUACCAGCACCCCGAGUGGUCGGGACGAUUAUUGGGCCUAAAGCAUCCGUAGCCGGUCCUGCAAGUCUUCCGUUAAAUCCAGCUGCUCAACAGAUGGGCUGCGGGAGAUACUACAGGGCUAGGAGGCGGGAGAGGCAAGCGGUACUUUAUGGGUAGGGGUAAAAUCCGCUGAUCCAUAGAAGACCACCAGUGGCGAAGGCGGCUUGCCAGAACGCGCUCGACGGUGAGGGAUGAAAGCUGGGGGAGCAAACCGGAUUAGAUACCCGGGUAGUCCCAGCUGUAAACGAUGCAGACUCGGUGAUGGGUUGGCCUCGCGCCUGCCCAGUGCCGCAGGGAAGCCGUUAAGUCUGCCGCCUGGGGAGUACGGUCGCAAGACUGAAACUUAAAGGAAUUGGCGGGGGAGCA